UUCAAUAUGGCAGACUAGUGCUAUGAAUUUAAGCUUCAUUUAUAAAGUUUAUCUUUUGUUGCAU
Molecule: transfer RNA, 64 nt
Filed under: Dorypteryx domestica
Lineage: Eukaryota; Metazoa; Arthropoda; Insecta; Psocodea; Psyllipsocidae
Description: tRNA-Leu
Source: RNAcentral